UUACGUGCUGCGCAUUCCAGCGCUUUGAUAGAUGGCUGGGCUGAACUUGGCCUGCACUGAGCCAAGGAGAUCAAAACUUGGACAGAGUCUUUGUUCUGUCCCGUGGUGUCCGCGACCUGGAGUAGCCAGCCUGUCCGCUCAGGGGCCCCUCUAUGGGAAGACAGAGCCUUGAGUUUGCAGAUAGAGCAACAAAGGUUUGCUUAUGGUGUGGUGGCCUCCCCUAAAAAAUAGCUUUUUUGUGUCAGGCUAUUUAUCAUGCGCUCAUGUCACCGACUCAGGGUUUGCUGUGGCAGUCCCGGCUCAGACCGCGCGCGGAGCUUGUUAUCUGUGAAUGUGAGUACUGCUUUGAAGCCCAGGCAAGCAGUCUUUUACAAGCUCAAGAAAGAGAUGUUUGCUGCCCUGAAAAACCACUUUGAAUCUACUCUCUGGACAGAGUUGACUCAUCUAGAAUGGUAGGUUCCUUCUCAGUCCCUCCAAUCACAGCUACCUUUGGUAAUGAUUAGAGACUGCCUUGUCCUUGAUCCUGAUGGGCCAAAAGCAAGUCUGCUUCUUCAGGACUCAACAAUUACUGUGUUAAUUUGUUGUGCUCUGUUGUGAGACUUGUUAAAGAGUCAAUAUAGUAAGUAUUCUCAAAAUGUUAUUGGGGGAACGACAUUGCUGUGUAUGUAACUUUGUACAUUCCUCAGUCUGCAAAAGUGAUUGGUUCUUAGUAUGUUGUGCCCCACAGAGAGGCAUGUUCUUCCAUGUAGGUUGCUGGCUCCUUCUUUGGACAUUCAGUAGAAUAAUGCAGCAGUGAGCCUAUGGAAAGGACAAACUACUUGAAAAGUCUGCAUUGGAUCCUUGCUACAGCUGUUGGCAGGGCCCAAGUAUUUUUCAUCUUUACAGUUGACACAGCAGGGUUAUAGCUUGAUGAUGUAAUGAUGCCUGAUCAAGUUAGUUGUGAGUGAUUGAAUAUUUGAGAAUUUAAGGCAUCAUUGGCUGAACAAAUUCCCAGCACAGAAUUGGAAGAGGGUCUGUGAGCUGUCAGUGCUCAGGUGGCUCAGACUACCUAAAAUACCAGAAUUUUGCUUUUCACUAAAAGUAUAAAAUCAAGAAUGAUGUUGAUGAUUUCAUCUUCAUAGGAAAACCUCAUUAACUAGCUAGGUAGUUAGACAUAUGUCUAUUGUUGAUUAAUCAAAAUGUAUCUUUAUAAUUAGUAAGCCUUUAAGCACAAAAUAUUUUUUAAAAGCUAUUAAUGUGGGGACUGGUGCUGUGUUGUUGCAGGUUCGAGUCUGGGUUACUCUGCUUCUGAUCCUGCUCCUGCCAAUGGGCUGGGCAAGCAGAAGAUGGGCCAAGUCCUUGGGUCCCUGCCACCCACAUGGGAGACCUGGAUGAAGCUCUUAGCUCCUGGCUUAAGACUGGUCUGGCUCUUGCCAUUUCAGACAUUUGAGGCGUGAACCAGCAGAUGGAAGACAUCUCUCUCUCUCUCUUCUUUUGUCUCUCUGUAUCUAUGACUUUCAAAUAAAUAAGUAAAUCUAAGAAAAAGCUAUUAAUCU
RNAcentral lists this long non-coding RNA (1535 nucleotides) under Oryctolagus cuniculus (rabbit). Its description in RNAcentral is "lncRNA (ENSOCUG00000032458.1)". The record is from RNAcentral. Lineage: Eukaryota; Metazoa; Chordata; Mammalia; Lagomorpha; Leporidae.